This is a long non-coding RNA of Gossypium arboreum, 3103 nucleotides long. RefSeq lists it as uncharacterized. The transcript has 2 exons. NCBI's taxonomy places the organism in Eukaryota, Viridiplantae, Streptophyta, Magnoliopsida, Malvales, Malvaceae. The record is from RefSeq and is a predicted model, not a curated record.
AAUGCAAAUAGAUCAAGGUCUCAAAUUUGAUUCCCUUCCCUUGUAAAAUAGCUUUAUUUUCUCUUUCUCCCUAUUUUUGUGCCAGCCAUGCUGCUUAACCUAGGAAUAAAUAUCACUUUUUCAUUUAUUUUUCAGCCUUUAGUCAUUCUUUUACAACCCUAGCCGCCCUUCCCCUUCAUCUCUUCUCUCCCUUUUUAUUUUUCCCCUUUCUCCCUCAUUGUGCUACUGCCUAAAGUUCCCUCUCUUCUGCCCAUAUUUCCUUUGUUGAUAGAGGAUUUUUACAAAAUUUUCCUUAUCACCUUUGCUACUUUUUCCAUUAAAAUUUCCAUCCUCAAAUCUACCAUUUUUAUCAUUUAAAAGUAAGCCUCCAAAGGCUCCACAAAGAUUACCAUUACCGCUCUUUUGCUAUCCUUCGAGUCGCAUGUGCAUGGGGUGGGUUAUUGUGGAUGACAGACGAGUUUCGUGGAGUAAUUGCAGCAUAUUAAGUUUGCAUUUAUGUUAUCAAUGCACUGCACCAGGAUUAAUGAGGAGAAUGACGAUUAUAUUGUGUUUUAAAUGGUAGUAUAACUGCAUUACGUAUAAUGGUUGUUUAACCACAUUGAGCCCAGCUCGUAAUGUUUGGAGUUUGGCAAACGGGUUCUGGGGAACUCGUCGUGUGUAGAGGAUGGUUGGGUAGGAUUCUUUAUGCAUUGCAUUAUGUCCAUGGCACUCAAAAGAUAAUGUUUUAUGCUAUGUGAUAUGUUGUAUUAAAUUAUUGAUUGGUGAUUGUACGGAUAACUGAAUGUUCUUACCAUUUAGACUCAUAAUAAGCUAGUUAGCUUACACCAUAGUUUCAAACAUCUUAGGUAAUGCUUAAGAGUAGGAUCAGAUACGACACAUGGGCAUACGACGAACUUCGAACUAAUUAUUAUUUAUUUCAUUUAAGUUUUAUUUAAAAUUUAAUUUGUUUUGGGACUUUAAAGUUAUUUGGAUCGUGGUUUGGAUUUUACUUUGUUUUGUGAUUUUCAUGUAUUCAUAUUCGACACAUUAAUUUGGUUUUAAAGUACAUUUUGAUAUUGGACAAUGCUGGCUUAAUGUUAAAAGGGGUAAAAAUUAAGUUUUCCACUGUAAUAAAAGAUAAUGAGGUUUUAUUGAGUGAAGCAACGGGCAAUGUGUUUUCUAAACCACGCAAAUGCUAAUAACACGACAUAAGGAUGUCUGAUUUAAUUAAUGAAAUGUCUUCUACAAUAACAAAGAUACACCGCUAUUUUUUUUAAAAGAGCGAGUAACUAAGGUUUUCAAAGAAUGAUAGGGUAGUUUAGCUACACAGGUGGCUAAUGUGAUCUUCACAAUUCGGCCAUAACGUUUAGGUCGGAUUGGGGAGAUUACAAAUUGAGCAUGCAAGACACCUAUUUUUUGGCCCAAAAGCAUCAAGAAUGACAACUAGGUCACAACAUAGCCGAACAAGGUUUAAAUUUAGUACUCGAAGUUUUUGUCAUGAUACACAUAAGCCUAUUUCACGAAACAGGUCUGAUGGAGGUGUCAUUGUCUGCACAAUACAUAUUUAGCCUAAUUAAAGCUUGUAAUUGACCUAAGUGAGCAACUAACUUUAUCUAUAAAUAGUUAAGUUGAUGCUAAGCUAAGAGACAAGUUGUUAUGUUAGAAUCUAGGUUUUAGUUUUAGACUUAGUUUUUAAUUUAUUUUUUGAAACAAUUUUUUAUUUCUUGUUCGAACUUGGAUUUGAUUUGAGUCCAAGACUUGGUUAUUAAGUGUUUUGAUAUAUUUUUCUUUCAUUUUUUUCCUGUUAACAUCAAUAUCUCUAUAGUUGUUACAGGAAUUUGCAAAACUGAGUGCAUUCAGUUUAUCAAACGGAUCAAUAUCAAUUUUCUUUUCGUUUUAGUUUAAUUUGUGUUUUUGCAUGAUUAAAUUAAUUCUUAGGAGAAUGGUCUCGAGAUUCAUGAGUAGCUAAAUCCUUUAGAAAUGUUAACGAGUGAAUGUGAGAGUAAUUAAUGGAAGAACGAGGGUUCCCUAUAGAAUUAGUUGGUUUAAAUUAUGUAUGCUUAAACUUUAGGAUUGACGACCCUAGGAAGUCAUCUAGGUAAAAUGAGGUUGAGAGAUAAGUUUACCGAGUAAAUCGUAAUUUAUCCUAGUUUAGAAAGUAAGGUUGAGAGCCAAUUGAGUAUUAAUGAAUUAAUUAAUCAGUUAGAGGCCAAGAGGUAUUAACUGGUUAGUUAUUAGCUAGUUCACUAAAACCCGACUUCUGAAGUUAUUUACAACCAUUGAAGUAAGUUAAUCUUAAACUUGUUAAUUGAGAUUUCUUUGUUGAUUAAUUUCGUUCUAGUAAUUUUAUUUUAUUUCAUAAUAUUAAUUUCUUUAUUAUUAUAACACCCCAACCUGACUUAGGAGUUUUGGCUAAGCCAAGGGCGCUACAUUGAUCACCGAAGUGAUCCAGUAAAGUCAUUCACUUGUUUGAGUUAAUUUGUAUGAAAAUCACUAUUUAGUUUUUAAGAACAAAACAUUCAUUAAUCAAAAUGACUUUACUUAGUAAUCCAAUUACAAUAUUAUUAAUGUGAAUUGUUGAAAAAUGGUUCAAGUUUAAAAAGACCUAUCAAAACUUUAAGUAUUUUGCAAAGCAGUGGAAAAUAUUAUUAAGAAUAAUGGUUUUCUAAGCCAAACAACAUGCAAUUUAUCAGAGCGUUAACUAUAUGUCAUGCUUUAAAGGUAUUAAGCUAAACAAUCCCAAACCACAAUUAUAAAAGCAAGAAAUAAUUAAUAAUUACAAUAUGGUAAAUGACUUAAUAAAACAACUAAGGAAAUUUUUAAUGGAAACUUUUAAAAUAAUAAUGAAAGAAAAUGGGUUGCUAGUUCGAGGUUCUUUCGAUGCCAUUUCGAGUAUUAGUUUUUUGCGUUACAUGAAAGGUAAGGAAAAUAGGGGAUGAGCUUAGGACAGAUCAAUGUGAGUCUAAAUUAUAAACCAUUAUAUGUAAUUGAUCAAACAGUAAAGCAUUCAAUUUAUAGCCUAAUAGAAAAUUAAGCAUAAUGUAAGGGACAUUUAGAAAAUCAAAGCAUGUACUGAUUAUUUUCAUGAUGCAAUGCAAAUGCAAAUUUUAAUUUUAAGUUCUCA